CCGAUGAGGUGGAAACGGACAGAGCUGGCGUAUCUGGCCUGCAUUCAGCCGCUGCGCGUCGGGCCCCGGUUUGCCGCACUCCAGAUUGGGAAGGUGGCUGGGCUGCUGGCGUGCUGGUGGCGCAUUUGCAGGUGGAGUGCGCCGAGGCGCCCGGUUCAGCGGCAUGAGCUCGGCUUUGAGGCCAGUCGCGCAAGCGGUCUGGUACCCGGGUCGGGGGAGUGUUGUUUGGGCUGGGUGUUCGCUGGGGCACAGGUUUCGGGCCCGGGUGGGUGCCGAGCUGGCGGUCGGCGGCGGUCGCGUGCGACACGUGCCAGCAGUCAGUUCGGUCCUGCUCGAGCUCUCUCGUGUCCGGCCUCGGUGUAAAAGCCGGUCAUCUGUCCGACCCGUCUUGAAACACGGACCAAGGAGUUUAGCGUGUGCGCGAGUCAUUGGGUGUUGAAAACCCAGAGGCGUAAUGAAAGUGAAGGUCUGCCUUGUGCAGCUGAUGUGUGAUCCUGGGCGCCGCGGUGCCCGGGCGCAACAUAGUCCCGUCCCGACUGCAUGCAGUGGGGCGGAGACAGAGCGUACGCGCUGAG
This 575-nucleotide ribosomal RNA is filed under the name Helicotylenchus dihystera. Its description in RNAcentral is "eukaryotic LSU rRNA". The stretch from base 400 to 575 matches the Rfam family "Eukaryotic large subunit ribosomal RNA", at positions 665 to 813 of the family's 3401-position model. Lineage: Eukaryota; Metazoa; Nematoda; Chromadorea; Rhabditida; Hoplolaimidae. The record is from RNAcentral.